UGCAUACUGACCACAUACUCAUUGCAUUCUACAUUUGUCAUUCAUACUUAAUAUUGAUUAAGAUGAAAUGAUAAUUAGCAAGCCUCUUUAUGUUGCGUUGGCACAGCGCAAGGAAGAGAGGAAAGUCAAGUUACAGGACCAAUUUUUUGCAAAUGAGGCAUGUUGCAAUUAAUAUCAGCAAACUUAUAGUAGAUCAAAAGACGGAGCAAUGAGCAUCACUUGUUAAAUAAGAUAUUUUCAUGUUGGAUUUGAUAAUGCACCCGCCAACACCGUCUCCAUUCCCGAGUUAGUUGCCGCAUGCUCACCCUAUUUUAAUGGUGGUCAACAAUUUGACGUCUUGAGAUGGUGGUCCACGCACGAGAGGGAAUAUCCCAUACUCGCCACCAUGACCAAGGAGUUACUCGCGAUCCCAGCCUCCACGGUCUCCAUCGAGCAAGCAUUUAGCGUUGGUGGGCUUGUCUUGGACGAAAGAAGAAGCAACAUGGAUCCUCGAAACAUGGAGGCCACCAUGUUGCUUGAUGAUUGGUUCAAAGUCGAGUUGCGAGCUCAAGAGAAUCAAUGGGAUCAAGCCAACGAGAGCCCAAACGAUGAAUUCACCGAGUCCGAACGAUCUGAGGCCGAGGAGGACUACGAUUAGGUAAGUUAAGGUAAGAGAACUACGUGAAUUUUGAUUCUUCAUUAUUCAAUAAAGAUACGUAGGCCACUCAAUUUUAAUAUUUAUAUUAAAAUUGAGCUCAAGCCCUUAAUUAUUAUUAUUUUUCCCCCUUUUAGACAACUUUCUUUCGAACUUAUUAUAGUGAAUUAGUUAUUUAGUUAGUAUUAGUUAGUUUACUUAUUCAAUUUUGAAGAUUGUAAUUUGUAUCCUUGACUUGUAAUAUUUUUUUUGUACAUAGAAUAAAUUCAAUAAAGAUAUCCAUUUUUAUGCAUUA
Long non-coding RNA from Salvia miltiorrhiza (redroot sage), 929 nucleotides. RefSeq lists it as uncharacterized. The transcript is spliced from 4 exons. NCBI's taxonomy places the organism in Eukaryota, Viridiplantae, Streptophyta, Magnoliopsida, Lamiales, Lamiaceae. The record is from RefSeq and is a predicted model, not a curated record.